RNAcentral lists this transfer RNA (66 nucleotides) under Empoascanara sipra. Its description in RNAcentral is "tRNA-Arg". RNAcentral also lists the same sequence under 1 other name. Lineage: Eukaryota; Metazoa; Arthropoda; Insecta; Hemiptera; Cicadellidae. The record is from RNAcentral.
UAACAUAGAAGUAAAAUUUUACAUUUAGUUUCGACCUAAAAUUUAAGGUAUUAAACCUCAUGUUUU